AGUUAAUAACUUAUAGUAAAGUAAUAUGUUUUGAAAACAUAAAUUAGAGGUUAAAUCCCCCUGUUAACUU
This 70-nucleotide transfer RNA is filed under the name Hemithyrsocera longiseta. RNAcentral's name for it is "tRNA-Ser". It matches the Rfam family "tRNA". From Rfam's summary of the family: Transfer RNA (tRNA) molecules are approximately 80 nucleotides in length. Lineage: Eukaryota; Metazoa; Arthropoda; Insecta; Blattodea; Blattellidae. The record is from RNAcentral.